UACGUAGGUGGCAAGCGUUGUCCGGAUUUAUUGGGUUUAAAGGGUGCGUAGGCGGCUUAUUAAGUCAGUGGUGAAAUACUCUAGCUCAACUAGAGGGGUGCCAUUGAUACUGAUGAGCUUGAGUACAGAUGGGGUAGGCGGAAUUGACGGUGUAGCGGUGAAAUGCUUAGAUAUCGUCAAGAACACCUAUAGCGAAGGCAGCUUACUAGGCUGUAACUGACGCUGAGGCACGAAAGUGUGGGGAUCAAACAGG
RNAcentral lists this ribosomal RNA (253 nucleotides) under uncultured bacterium. RNAcentral's name for it is "partial 16S ribosomal RNA". It matches the Rfam family "Bacterial small subunit ribosomal RNA", at positions 524 to 776 of the family's 1533-position model. The record is from RNAcentral.